GGGGAUUUAGCUCAGUGGUAGAGCGCUUGCCUAGUAAGCAUAAGGCCCUGGGUUCAGUCCUCA
Molecule: transfer RNA, 63 nt
Filed under: Rattus norvegicus (Norway rat)
Lineage: Eukaryota; Metazoa; Chordata; Mammalia; Rodentia; Muridae
Rfam family: tRNA
About the family: Transfer RNA (tRNA) molecules are approximately 80 nucleotides in length. Their secondary structure includes four short double-helical elements and three loops (D, anti-codon, and T loops).
Source: Rfam by way of RNAcentral